AAUUAUUCACUAAUUUCAAAUAGUUCUUAAAAUAUUAUUUUUGAAGGAAAUCAAUCUUUCACUAAAUAACAAUAUUCCAUUACCAAAUACAAUUUGUGAAUAAAAAAAUUAUUCACAAUAUAUCCUUCACAAAAAAUAUUUAGUUACUACUUAGCGAAGGAUACCCAAUUGCGAGGAGGUCUAAUGCGAACAAUUGUGUGAAGGAAAUAUUUAUUCGCAAUAAAUCUCUUGCGAGUGAUAUAGUAUGUCUUGUGAAGGAUUUGUCUUUCACUAGAGGCCAUUUUGGGUGUAGUGGAGGAAGGUAUUAUACUGUAAUAUUUUGAGCCCCAAAACGUGCAAUUAUCGAAAUAAUAUUUUCCUAUAAAUAGAAGUUCAUUCUUCCAUCAUUUCUCACUAAUUCACUAAGUCUCACAAGAGCAAUUAUUAUAGAGAAAUUAUAGAGAGAAAGAAGAAGAGAAGUCUGCUACCUCACUAUUCCAGUAUCCAGUUUUCUUCUGAGUUAAGGGGUAUUAUUUCUUUCGUAUUCAUGAAGAGAGCUUCUGUUAUUCCAUUCUUUAUUAUUAUGUUGGAAUAACAUGUCUAUGCGAUGUACCGCAUACAUGGUGAAAUUCUUCUGUUAUUCCAUUCUUUAUUAUUAUGUUGGAAUAACCUGUCUAUGCGAAGUACCGCAUAUAUGGUGAAAUUCUUCUGUUAUUCCAUACUUUAUUAUUCUGCUGGAAUAUCCUGUCUGUGCGGAUUACGCAUGACCUGGUUUCAUUCCUUAUUAUUCUGUUGGAAUAUCCUGUCUGUGCGUAUUACGCAUGGCCUGGUUCCAUUAUUUAUUAUUCUGUUGGAAUAAUCUGUCUGUGCGGUCUAUCGCAUGUCUGGUGAAUUCUACUCUUAUUCCAUUCUUUAUUAUUCUGUUGGAAUAACAUGUCUACGCGGACUACCGCAUGCAUGGUGAAUGACCCUUCGUAUUCAUUCUUUAUUAAAUUGUGGAAAUGAUCUAUCUACAUGGAUUACCGUAUGGCAGGCGAAAAUCCAUUUGCAGUUUCGUAUAUUCUAUUAUACUCGUAUGAGAUAUCAUUUCUUUUGUACUCGUCAUGGAAUAUCAUUUUCUUUGGUAUUUUUUUAUGAGUUACUAUUCACGGGUUACUAUUCACCCGAUUACUAUUCACUUUAGUAUUAUUCAUUCGGGUAUUCAGGGUAUUUUUCAUGUCGGAGUACUAUUCACGGGUUACUAUUUACCCGAAUAUUAUUCACUCGGGUAUUUUGAGUACUUUUUAUGUCGGGGUAGUAUUCACGAGGUACUAUUCCCGAAGUACUAUUCACAUAAUACUAUUCACGGGGUACAAUUUACCUAAAAAAUAUAUUUCUUUUCUGUCCAAAUUGUUUUUGGUACGUGAAUAUUAAUCUUGAAUUUUACUCCACAAAGCAGUAUCAUGUUGACAAUUUGGAUAUUUUUAAACUCUGGAUAAAUUUAAAGUCUUUAAUAUUUAUCCUUGAUUUCGUUUGCUUAAUGCUUAUAUCAUUGUCAUCAUCCUCAUGCUUAUAUUGUGAUGAAAGUCAUCUUUGGCUUACGUGCAUAGAUGGACUGUUGAUUAUUAGUUUUACAGUUGUAUAUUUUUGGCUUACGUGCAAAGAUGGACUGUUGAUUAUUGAUUUUAUAGUUGUAUAUCUUUGGCUUACGUGUAAAGAUGGACAUGUGUAUGACAUGAUCAUAACCACUGGUGAUAAUAACGAAUAUCCUUGGCCCGUAGUGCAUGGAUAAUUCGAUGAUGUAAUUGGCAAGAUCAUGACCAUUAGUUAACAGUUGAAUGUCUUUGGCCGUAGUGCACUGAAAAACAAUUGAUUGGUAUGAUCAUGACUAUUGGUUUUAUAGUUGAAUGUCUUUGGCCCGUAGUGCAAAGGUAGACAACUGAUUGGUAUGAUCAUUGUUAUUACAUUUGAAUAUCUUUAGCCUUUGGGGUAAGGAUAUUGAGUAAACGUUCUAUUAAGCCUUUGUAGCAAGGAGAAACUGUUGAUUUACAUAAUUAUAAAUACGAAUUGUAGAUUUAACUAUAAUCUUUGGUGGUUUAGGUGAAGACAGGUGAUGAUAGUUCUUUUUGUCUUGUGUAUAACAAAGAAUUGUUGAUGGGUAUUACAGCGAUAAAAUUGAUGAUAAACUUUUUAAAUCAUAGAAGAUAGUAGAUUUUAUGCUCUACUUGACUCUUCCAAUGGAUUGCUUAUUCCGCUGCAAUUGUUGAUCUAAAACUUGUUGUCUAUUAUAUUCUAUCAGUUGUUAUACUGUUGAAGGCUAAGGAUAAUUUAUUCUGCAUUAUCUUAGCCAUAAUAUUUCUUACUAGGCUAGUUGAGCUCACCAUUUCUUUCACUGUUCUCUUCAGGAAAUGAGAAUAUUGCUGGGACGAGUCGGGGAACGGAUUAACGGUCCAGAUGGUUGUUUUAGUAGUCCUCACUAUUCUGCGAAAUAGUGUGAUAAUAAUUGUAAUGAGGACUCCAUUGAGAGUGGAUAUUGUCUGGAAGGCAAUAUUCUUGUUUAAACUCUCAGCUAUGUUUUGUCGUAUUUUAUACGACUGUUGUAUAAUCAAGCUGUAUUUGAAUUUUGUACCAUAUAUCUGACGACUCAAGAUGGGUGAUGUAUACCUGUUUUGGGGGCGUCACAUUUAGUACUUAACAUAUAUUACUAUUCCUUUUUAAAUAACUUUAGGAUUAACAUACACAAUUUUACACAAAAAGUUUCAAUUCUCUAACUUUACACAAAAAGUUGUCAUUUAUCAUUCUCACAUAACUAUUCCCAGUUCAUCAAACUUACCACACUUAUGAGUUCAGUAACUUGCCACAAUUAUAUAAGUGUAUGAACUUAUCCUAGUCAGACCAUUGUCGUCCAUUCGCUGAGGGGUUCAGAACAUUUCAUAUAAUCAUGAGUCAUGAACUUACCAUAAGUAUGAGUUUUAAGAACUCGCCAAUUAGUCUUAAUCUUAUAUUCAUAUAGAAAAUAAAGAUUGCAUUCAUACAAAUAUAUAUAUUUACAUAUGUUUACACAUCAUUCUCAAUAUUAUAACACUUAAUAUCAUAAUCUACUACCAAAAGAUACUACCGCUUAAACUUAAGCUAUCUACCAUUCACUCCCUUCAUCAGUCUUCUUCUUGUUGGGACACUUGUUGAAUCUAUGACCCGUUCUACCACAUGAAAAAUGCUUUCUCAUAUUCCGCAUAUGAAAAUGUAGGGAAAUAUGUCCUUCCUGCUUAUAGCUGAAGCACACAUUCUUCCACAUCAUGCAUUCUCCCACGUGAGUCUUUCCACACUUACUACAGGUUUGCCUCUUCUUCGGGUUUUAAUUUUUAGAAUUUUCGCUGUCUUUUUCCCUUUUUUUCUUAUUC
This 3359-nucleotide long non-coding RNA is filed under the name Panax ginseng (ginseng). Its description in RNAcentral is "long non-coding RNA (PGIN_LNC012556)". Lineage: Eukaryota; Viridiplantae; Streptophyta; Magnoliopsida; Apiales; Araliaceae. The record is from RNAcentral.